ACAUCCAGAGAAUUUAGCAGAGAUGCUUUAGUGCCUUCGGGAACUCUGAGACAGGUGCUGCAUGGCUGUCGUCAGCUCGUGUUGUGAAAUGUUGGGUUAAGUCCCCGNAACGAGCGCAACCCCUAUCCUUUGUUGCCAGCGAUUCGGUCGGGAACUCAAAGGAGACUGCCGGUGAUAAACCGGAGGAAGGUGGGGAUGACGUCAAGUCAUCAUGGCCCUUACGAGUAGGGCUACACACGUGCUACAAUGGCGCAUACAAAGAGAAGCGACCUCGCGAGAGCAAGCGGACCUCAUAAAGUGCGUCGUAGUCCGGAUUGGAGUCUACAACUCGACUCCAUGAAGUCGGAAUCGCUAGUAAUCGUAGAUCAGAAUGCUACGGUGAAUACGUUCCCGGGCCUUGUACACACCGCCCGUCACACCAUGGGAGUGGGUUGCAAAAGAAGUAGAUAGCUUAACCUUCGGGAGGGCGUUUACCACUUUGUGAUUCAUGACUGGGGUGAAGUCGUAACAAGGUAGGCGUAGCGAG
RNAcentral lists this ribosomal RNA (526 nucleotides) under uncultured bacterium. Its description in RNAcentral is "bacterial SSU rRNA". It matches the Rfam family "Bacterial small subunit ribosomal RNA", at positions 984 to 1509 of the family's 1533-position model. The record is from RNAcentral.